Molecule: long non-coding RNA, 521 nt
Filed under: Mytilus galloprovincialis (Mediterranean mussel)
Lineage: Eukaryota; Metazoa; Mollusca; Bivalvia; Mytilida; Mytilidae
Source: RNAcentral
UUAUUUUUAUCUAGGACGCCUUCCUACGCAUCCCAGAAAAAAUUAUAAAAUAUCCUAGCCAGACGUCAUAAUAUUAUUUGAACUAUUGAUGUGCUAAUUUAUAUAUUGAGAAAAGAGAAAUGAUGGACAAAAAGUAUAAAAAAAAUAGAGACAAAUGAGUGUAAAGAAUAAAUGAUAAAGUAAUGGAAAACACCCCAUCCAGACCCUUGUUUAUCUGAACAACAGAACUAUUAUUUUUGCUGAAUAGUGCAUAUAGGCAUUUCCCAUUUGAAUGGUUUUACAGUAGUAAUUUUAGGGCCCUUUUUAGCUUGUUGUUCAGUGUGAGCCAAGGCUCCGUGUUGAAGGCAGUACAUUGACCUAUAAUGGUUUACUUUUAUAAUUUGUUAUUUGGAUGGAGAGUUGUCUCAUUGGCACUAACACCACAUCUUCCUAUAUCUAUGUAAAAUAUCUUUUAAAGAUUUCAGGUAUAUGAAAUAUUAACCAGUAGGACAGUAUAAAUUCUGUCCCUCCUUCCAUGCAAA